RNAcentral lists this unclassified non-coding RNA (117 nucleotides) under Spongillida sp. ZSM 20044492. Its description in RNAcentral is "sequence contains 5.8S rRNA gene, ITS2". Lineage: Eukaryota; Metazoa; Porifera; Demospongiae; Spongillida. The record is from RNAcentral.
AAGUGCUGGGCCUUGUAAGCCAGGCGUCCUUUCGACGGGCGUGUUGAGGAGUCGUCCGGGAAACGGGCGUCCCUUGAAGUGCGAACCCCCCCCCCCCCCCCCCCCCCCCCCCCCCCC